AAGCAGCCACAGAGCUAUCUGCAGAGUACUACUUCAAUCACUCAAAAAAUACAAGCCAAAUGGUAAAGACCACAUAAUCUUUCCAAACCAUGACAGAUCAAAUAAAUAAUAAGUAAUCUAGGCACAGAAACAGCCUGAAAGUAUACUGUAAAGACUGCAAUUUUCUUAUAUAACUUAAUUGAUGUGUCGACUCAAUUAGUUAUUUGUUUUCUUCUACAUUAACAUCAAUGAAAGCCACUAUUAUCUGCAUCAACAUGACAUAAGGAAAAGAUACUUUUUUUAUACAACUUAAUGGAUUUGUCAACCCAUUCAGUUAUUUGUUUUCUUCUCAACUAACAUCAACAAAAGCCACUAUCAUUUGCAUCAACAUAACACAAGGAAAAGAUUCCCUAAAACCCAAGUUUUAAGUUCCCAGAUUACCAGACUGGCUUCAGCUGUCAUGGUUUUGUAGUAUCACUCAGUUUUAUCCAAAGCCCGUUUGUUUUAGUUUGGUUUCGGUUAAAACCAACACAUAAAAAGGCUUGUGUAUCCUUCACUCAGUCUUUUAUCCCUUUCUUGUUUUUCUUUUCACUUUCAGGGAAAACAUGCCAUGGUACAUGGAAUCAACCUCAUAGAAACAUUUUAAUAAUAUAUAGCAUAGGAAAUUUGCAAAUUUUCAGGAGGCCUGGAUUCUAUAUAUAUAAAUAAGUAAAUAUUGAGAAGUGUAAAUUUUUCAACCAUAUCUCUGUAAAAUUGGUCAAUAUUUAGCAGAAUCUUUCAUCCACAAAUGUCCAAAUCUGGAAAACGGACUAGUUGAAAGAAAUACAGAUUUACUUUUUAACCGAUAAUUUCUUAUUUUAGAACUUCAACACAUGUAUAUUUUUUUUAUGUAUGAAGCAUGUUGGAUGUGUUCAUUAUCAAAUUCUAUAGCCAUUCUUGUGGGUACAUGUUGCCAUGGUUAUUUGCUUUCCCAUAAGAAUAAGAGGUGACACCAAAUAGUAAAUAUUGUAGUGAUUCAUAUUUCAACAGUCACUCUUACUAUUGGAAAAAAUACUUUAAAUCAGCUGAUUCAUGUUUUCUAGCUAACAGUACCAUUACAAUGAAGCCUCGUCUCACUAUUUAACGUUGCCUUUAUGACAACUCACAAAAGCAUUAUGUUGUCUAAAUGUUAUGCUAAAAGGAAUUUACUCAAAUUUACUCAUCAUUCAAAAAUGCAUUUUGUAGGACGCAGAUGAUAUAGUGAGAUUAAGCAGCUCAAAUGCUAUUUUUUGUAUGGUAAUUACGAGUCUCUUGAAAUCUGCACAGAAUAUUGACUUAACUAACCAGUUUGCUGUUCAAACCAUAACCCAGAGCAUCUUAAUGAAACCCCAGGGGCAUUCAUUAACCAAGCAAGAGAAACUUUAACUAAUUAAAUAUGUCAUUAAUUGCACAAUCAUAAUAAUGCAUGCCACUACCACAAUAGGGUUAUUAACUUUUAGGAAUACCCCAAGUCAUUUCUUAACAUGUCCAAUAUUUUCAACUGUCUUAUGCGAUUUCUCAUGUGUUCAUCCACCAGCAUUAGCUGUCAAUACUUGUGAAUGCACCCAUUCAAGGCUCAAACCCAUAAUUUCUGAUUACUAAGCACGGGGUUAUAACCACUGAGGUGAGCCCCAGUUCAUAGUUUGGCAUAAUUUCAGAUUCCCCUAAAUCUAUAGGGCAGCAAAUAUUGAAUCUCAGUUCACUAUAACAAAACAUAAAUGGUAUAUUUGCAAGUAACAAACCAAAUGAAAAUUUUAACGAUGUUUGCAACUAUAAGUUAAUAAAAUAUGAAGAUUUAAGUUGCACCACAAUUUCAAAUUUUGUAGACAUAUCAACUUUUUGAGCAUUAUUAUAUAAAAUGAUUGACAGAUGUGUGCAUCUUCAUAUCAUUAAUAUGUACUGCCACUAAAGAGAUGUAUCAGAUCUCAAGCCUAGCUGUUGAACUAAUUGAUAACAAGAAUAACUAAAUAUUUUUCGAUCAUUUAUUUCGAUGGAAAAAAGUGUUUGAAAGAUAUCAAAAAAAUGUACCUUGCAGAAAAAGUGUAAGUCCACACUCAAAGCAUCUUUCUAAUCACAAUAUUGUGACUCCACCUACCACUUCCAAGAUUGGAGAAACUAUAGCCCACCCAUCACCCAAAUAAUGAAUGAAGUUAGUUCAUAAAAAUUAAUCUCUCAGCUACUUUUGAAUCUUUCACCUCUUUUUUCAUGCAUAGGGCUAGAAAUGAGCAUAUAUGGGUUCAAGACUUACCAACCAGGCCAGGCCUCAUUCACAUGGGGCUAGGACAAAAUAUCAAGGUGCAAAAUGAUUCUAGACAAACUCUGGCCACUGCAUAUACUCAUUGCCCCUAGAAAAAGCCGUUUGCAUGACUGAGCACAAGUAGAGCCUUAGUCAAAAGCUUGCAAGAAUUUUACCUCCUACUAUUAGAGCACCUACUUCCUUUAGUCUUGAACAACCUCAUAUUCCACGACCACCUAAAGCAGUUGCCGGGCCAAAGUGAUGGAGAUCCAAGUUUGUGCCACGUUGCAUCAUGCUGCAGCUUAGAUUUUUAUUAUAUUUGAUUAUCAUUUUUUAUGUAUUUUUCUUUUAUUUUCUGGUUAUUUUCAAUUUCAAUGGGUUAUUUUGGAUUCUAGGUUGAGAUUUAAAGAUCUCAAUACUUAUCUAGGAACCUAACUGCUGUAGCAUAUUACAAUUAAUGGCACUGUACAUGUUACAGUAAUCAUGAAUAGUAAGUGCGUCUUAUUAGGAGCAGUUUUGGAUUUUAAAAGAGUUGAAUUAGAAUUUCUGUUUUGUUAUAAAAAGGGGACGCUUAGUGUUUGAUAUAAUCACAGUUUAAGCAGAUUAUGAAUGAAAUAAUGGAGUCUUCAGUUUUCUUUACUCUUGUAGUGUGAGGUCUUGAAACCCUAAGUGUGACUCCAAGGUUUUAGUAUGAGUCCAGUAUUAUCUUUUCCCUUCUCUUAGUUUUUUUUUCUAUGUUUGAUCCCCUAGAGACUUAUUUGGACUUACUUCCUUGUCUCUUAUUCAUCUCUUAUCGAUCUCUAUUUUGGGUUUCACAUCCCAAAAGAUUUUUUUUGGUCAUAUAAAUAUCAGAUUUUCUUUCAAACUAUUCCUGCAAGCACGCGAUUUCAUAUAUUUAAAUGCAUAAAUCCUAAAAGUCUCAAUUUAACCUGUAGAAUCUUAAAUUUUAGGUUAGAGAGUAGCUAUUCAUUAACUAUUCUCUUCAAAAAUAUUAUCUUUCUAGUUUAGUUUUAUCGAAAACUAAGAUCUGCGAUUGAAUUUCCAGUACAUUUCAAUCAUAUCCUAAGCCAUUCUAGAUCCCCUUCACCUGUCCUACAUCACACAGCUUUGAAGCAUUGCUUAUGUUGCACCAUAAACCAGCAGGACCAGAAGCAUCAACCUCCUCGAGCCAUUGCCCAACCACCUAGGAAGCACGGAUGCUUCAAAUUACAUGUGUCUGUAUCAGAAGGCAAUCAUGAGCAAGCGCCACGUGGACCAGUCAAAGUGGAUGAUAGUCACAUGACCCUUGCUGGACUGAUAGAGUUCGGCUGUGAUAAUCAAACAUGAAGGCACAAGCCAAAGGAGGAAGAUUCAGCAAUGACAUUGACAAGCAAGCCAAGAGAUUAAGACUGGGUCGUGAUCAACCGCAAUACAAGGUGGAUGCAUUGGUCUCAAGAGUCUCCCAAGGCAUAAAAGGCCAUUAAAGAGAAACGGCCAACAUAAGCCAUGUAGGGAUAGGGCAAAGAAAGUUUAACGAUGACCAAGGCUGAUAGAGUAUGAAUAUUGGUCAAACAAUUAGUACAAAGUGGCCAUUUUCAUGGUCAUGCAAUAGUAGGAAGACGACCGCAAUUAGUUACCAAAACUACUACAAGUCGAGACUUGAUGCGGAUAACCGUCAAAGUGAGCAGUUAUUAUAUUUUAAUAUAAAUAAUGGAUUUGUACUAUGUAAUAGGACCCUUCGACAUCCAAAUCAAUGCAAUUUAUCUUAUCUAAGUUCUUAAUCUACCAGUAGUUUAUACCUUAAGUGCAGUGGUAACUUAAAUUAGAUUUCUACUAUCAUAGCCUUAUGCUACAUCCCUAUUCCUUAUACAGAUCCAUCUCACUCAAACGGUAGUAUAAUAGUGGCAAAAAAUUUUGAGGUCAAAGCACCUGGACCCAUGGUUGAUGGAACCGUCCCGAACCGUUCGGUUCAGGGCGCACCAAGUCGUAUCUGCGGCAGACUGGAAUGGUUCCGACAACCAAAACGAGAAACUGGGAUGGAAGAGAUGAAGAAGGAAAGAGAGAAAAAGAGAGAGAGCAGUGAAGGGAGAGGAAAAGGAAGAAAGAGAGGGAAAGUGGCUGUCAGUCGAGGGCUGCGAAGGGCUGGAGAGCCGCGCAGAGGGGCAGAGGAGGGGUUCCACCUCCGGUUACCCUGUUUCUUUUGAAACAGGGGUCCCCGAGGGGACUUCUUUUUAUUUUCAAAAUUUUUAAGUAAAGUUGAAAUCCUUCGGGAGUCUUGUUUCAAAUGAAAUAGGAAAACCAGAGGCAGAACUUCCGCCGGCCUCCUCUCUCCCUCCCUCUCUCCCUCUUCUCUCGCUCUCUUUUUUUAUCUUCGGUUCUCCCUCUCCCCCACCUCCUCUACUAUGUCGGUAUGGGCCAGCACAAAACAACAUAGAAAUGUACCGACCCAUGCCAUCGAAAAACCGGUCUGCACCCCAGUUCCGGCACAGCAAUCCUUGCCUGGACCUACAAACUCCUAUAAUUCAAUUACCUUUAAUAAAAGACAUCACCACCAUCUUUUCGGCUAAUCUAAUACCGAUGGCAUGCUCGUGCACAUAUCUACCCCUUGCUAUUAGGCUUGUCAACUCUCUCUAUCAGACGACCGAGUUUCUUAGGACAAGGAGUUCCUUGGCACACCUAGACACGAUGGAAAGGGUGGGAACAGUGAUGUAUGUAGAUAUACAUAUGUGUGCAUGACAAUCUAGAUGUAUAUGUAUUUGUACAUAUGCAUAUGCAUGGUAUAUGCAUAUGUAUGUAAAUAUGUAUGCAUAUUAAUAUAUCUUAGCCAUAUCAUACUAUAUUCUUCAAGAUUUGCCAUAUCGAUGGAUUUGUACCGUGUAACAGCUAUAUCGCAUAUCCAUGUUGAUGCUUCUAGCCUACCACAAGCAAUCACAUAGAAAUUAGUUUAACACUACUUCAGAACUUCUGAGCUGUCACCUCCAAAGGGAAGAUUCUCACCUCCUUCAUACCGUUACCACAGAAUAUCUUCUCCUACUUUUAUCUUUGAAUUGACAAGCGAGUUAGUUGAUUAUAUUCUAAUACUUAAAAUAUGCAUAAAACCUAUUGCAUGUACCAAAGAUGAACUUGAAUGGGAUUGAGAAGGAUAGUUACUGUACAACCAAUAGAAAGGGCCUAAAAUGGAUAGACAAAGUUUAUGGCCAACACCAAUUCGAAGUGGUGCUUGACUGUAUUAUGGAGGAGGACAAUGUAAAUAGCAAUAGUAGACACAAUGACAAAUGUUGACAGCAUGUUUGAUAAGUAUUUUGCUUGCAUUAAGCUAAAAUUUUUGGACUUCACUCAUUUCCUUUUAAUAUGAAACUAAAUUUAAGAACUUUACUAUUGCGCACUCUUAAAUUUAUCUAUUAUCAAACUUUGAUAUAGUUACAAUUAUUUAACAUGAUUCGGGGAAUAUGUUGUUUAUAGUGACUUUUAAAGUGUUCUAAUAUAUAUCAAGCUACCAAUAACCAUAUAUUAAAAUUGUCUUGAUAUAUUUUAAGAUGUUUCAAUUCAUAAAUGCCCCUUUCUAUAAUUAAUAAUGUCAUUAUGAUAGUUCCCUAAUUUUGGUUCAUAAAUUUAUUUUUGAAAAAUUAAAUUAAAAUCAUGGGUCAAUGUACACCUCAAAAGAAAAAAAAAAGACAAUUACAAGUUAUCCAACUUCAAAUCUAAUUAACUAUUUUAAUUUGUAAUAAAAUUUCCCAUUGUAUUAUCUUAUUAAUAUCAAUUUCUAAGACAUUAAGUUGUUUCUGGCUCAAAGAAAAAGUCUUUCAUAAGUAACAGCAUACAAGUUGCAUCCAUCAUGGCAUAGAGUUCCAUGGAUUCAUGGAUCAAAGGCUCAUAAGCCAUAGUUAACAAUGUGAAU
Non-coding RNA from Phoenix dactylifera (date palm), 6110 nucleotides. The record is from RefSeq and is a predicted model, not a curated record. NCBI's taxonomy places the organism in Eukaryota, Viridiplantae, Streptophyta, Magnoliopsida, Arecales, Arecaceae.